GGUAUGCUAGAUUUGAUAUUAGAAUUAUAAUAUUUUGAGCUUUCAGUAAUGUUUCAAGAAAGCUGGGAUAAAACUUUGCUACUGGACCAUCAGUGGUUAAGGGAUCAACUAAAAUAAGGAGCAAAUUGAUGUUGAAGGACACAUGGCCUAUGAUGAUGCAUAAUUUAUUCAGUGAUUUAUUGAUAUAAGAUAUUGUAUUUGGCAUAAAGGCAUGGAAUUUAUAUAUGUGGAUACUUGUGUGCUUUUAGCUGUGGAGGAUGUUAGUCGGACGAAUGAAAGUGAUUGUAAUUUAUGUUUGGAUUAGCAUGCAUCAUUCAAGAAUUCAACGAUAAUGUUUUGCCAGGUUUCA
Long non-coding RNA from Tripterygium wilfordii, 349 nucleotides. RefSeq lists it as uncharacterized. The transcript is spliced from 2 exons. Lineage: Eukaryota; Viridiplantae; Streptophyta; Magnoliopsida; Celastrales; Celastraceae. The record is from RefSeq and is a predicted model, not a curated record.